CCAAAAGCCUCACUCGAGUCCCGAGCCGAAGAAAGUAUAGGAUUCCCAAUCCCAUGCCCUCAUUAGUGGACAUGAUUAACCACGAAUGAGGAGAACGAAGAGUUGGGUGGUUUACUGGGGUGGCAAAUGGAAAGUUUGGUAGUGACCUACAAAAACGAAAAUGUUGCAACAUAACGCUGAUGUCGCCUCUGAAUACAAAUCGGCCCCUCUGCGGCUCUUUCGCACCAAGAACUGCUUUCUAAGUCGAGCAUUCCGCUUGAAUCCUAACGCCUAACCAGUCCCUAAUUCGUUCAAUUCUCGUUUUUCUGAUCCGAUUACUGUUCAGAACGCAUUUUUUCCACGUGGGGCAACCAUUCAAAUUUUUUGGGGGUGUGAUAUUGAAGUCCCUAGCCAAGAAUUAUGCAUUGGCAUUUAUUUGAAGCUCCUAUCAGCUAUAUUCUCAUUGUUGAGAUUGACAUUAUCGAGUGUAGGAAUUGGGUUGUGCGUGGAGCCUGGUGAAGAUUCGGCCUCCCCAGCGCCAGAGGUUGGCGUCCCUGUCACUACCGACAGAAGCAUUUCAGAAAUCAUUCAGUGUUCAAAUCUUAGCCUUGCCUACCACUAAUUGUUUGUAGAUGAAUGUCUAUCCCAGAUGUGAGUGUUCUUCUGUAAGUGAGAAAACAGAGACCUUCGGCUCA
Non-coding RNA from Physcomitrium patens, 674 nucleotides. The record is from RefSeq and is a predicted model, not a curated record. Lineage: Eukaryota; Viridiplantae; Streptophyta; Bryopsida; Funariales; Funariaceae.